Seriola aureovittata is the source of this 353-nucleotide non-coding RNA. The record is from the annotation of a RefSeq genome assembly. Lineage: Eukaryota; Metazoa; Chordata; Actinopteri; Carangiformes; Carangidae.
CUUCACCAUAAACCAUGUUUUCUGUAGCUCUGCUGCUGCUGUUGGCAGCUGGAUCCUGUGUGAAUUGUCAACAGUUGACACAGCCAGCCUCUGUGACUGUGCAGCCAGGUCAACGUCUCACCAUCACCUGUCAGGUCUCUUAUUCUGUUGGCAGCUACUACACAGGUUGGAUCAGACAGCCUGCAGGGAAAACACUGGAGUGGAUUGGAAGUGAACGUGUUGGGCAGACCAAAUACUACAAAGAUUCACUAAAGAACAAGUUCAGUAUGGACUUAGACUCUUCCAGCAACAGAGUGACUCUGAAUGGACAGAAUGUGCAGCCUGAAGACACUGCUGUGUAUUACUGUGCCAGA